Molecule: ribosomal RNA, 403 nt
Filed under: uncultured bacterium
Lineage: Bacteria
Description: partial 16S ribosomal RNA
Rfam family: Bacterial small subunit ribosomal RNA
Source: RNAcentral
GACGAACGCUGGCGGCGUGCCUAAUACAUGCAAGUCGAACGCAGUGGGGACGGGUGAGUAACACGUGGGUAACCUCCCAUCAGAGGGGAUAACACUUGGAAACAGGUGCUAAACCGAUACUGAUGGAUGAACCCGCGGUGCAUUAGCUAGUUGGUGGGGUAACGGCUCACCAAGGCCACGAUGCAUAGCCGACCUGAGAGGGGGAUCAGCCACACUGGGACUGAGACACGGCCCAGACUCCGACGGGAGGCAGCAGUGGGGAAUCUUCGGCAAUGGGCGAAAGCCUGAUCGAGCAACGCCGCGUGAGUGAAGAAGGUUUUCGGAUCGUAAAGCACUGUUAGUAGGGAAGCGGUAUCUAAAGAGAAAGCCACGGCUAACUACGUGCCAGCAGCCGCGGUAAUAC